Molecule: ribosomal RNA, 253 nt
Filed under: uncultured bacterium
Lineage: Bacteria
Description: partial 16S ribosomal RNA
Rfam family: Bacterial small subunit ribosomal RNA
Source: RNAcentral
UACGUAGGGGGCAAGCGUUGUCCGGAUUUAUUGGGCGUAAAGAGCGUGUAGGCGGCCAGGUAGGUCUGCUGUGAAAACUGGAGGCUUAACCUCCAGACGUCGACGGAAACCGCGUGGCUAGAGUCCGGAAGAGGAGAGUGGAAUUCCUGGUGUAGCGGUGAAAUGCGCAGAUAUCAGGAAGAACACCAAUGGCGAAGGCAGCUCUCUGGGACGGUACUGACGCUGAGACGCGAAAGCGUGGGGAGCGAACAGG